AUCGGCUUAGUUCAAUGGUAGAACAGCGGUCUCCAAAACCGUCAGCGUUGGUUCGAAUCCUUCAGCCGGUGCCA
Molecule: transfer RNA, 74 nt
Filed under: Paenibacillus rhizovicinus
Lineage: Bacteria; Bacillati; Bacillota; Bacilli; Caryophanales; Paenibacillaceae
Description: Paenibacillus sp. 14171R-81 tRNA-Trp
Rfam family: tRNA
About the family: Transfer RNA (tRNA) molecules are approximately 80 nucleotides in length.
Source: RNAcentral